AAUUGAUACCAUUGAGAUAAUUACUGAUAGGCAGUCUGGAAAGAAAAGAGGCUUUGGCUUUGUUACUUUUGAUGACCAUGAUCCUGUGGAUAAAAUCGUAUUGCAGAAAUACCAUACCAUCAAUGGUCAUAACGCAGAAGUAAGAAAGGCUUUGUCUAGACAAGAAAUGCAGGAAGUUCAGAGUUCUAGGAGUGGAAGAGGAGGUAAUUUUAAUUCUGUUUCUUCUUUAUUUUUGUUCAUAUAUAAGGGCUUGUUUCUAACUGGGGCAUUUAUUGUAGGCAACUUCGGCUUUGGGGAUUCGCGUGGUGGCGGUGGAAAUUUCGGACCAGGACCAGGAAGUAACUUUAGAGGAGGAUCUGAUGGAUAUGGCAGUGGACGUGGAUUUGGGGAUGGCUAUAAUGGGUAUGGAGGAGGACCUGGAGGUCAGUUUCCGCUACGUUUUGGUUUGUUUAUGUGAUUAAUACUUAACCAUAUCGUAUAUUUAGUUCAUUUAUAUCUUGAGUUUUUAAACAUUUUAUAUUACUCUUUAUAAAUGGCUUGGGCGAUAGUGGUGCAG
RNAcentral lists this small RNA (556 nucleotides) under Pongo abelii (Sumatran orangutan). Its description in RNAcentral is "retained intron". The record is from RNAcentral. Lineage: Eukaryota; Metazoa; Chordata; Mammalia; Primates; Hominidae.